This 1237-nucleotide ribosomal RNA is filed under the name Salmonella enterica subsp. arizonae. RNAcentral's name for it is "partial 23S ribosomal RNA". It matches the Rfam family "Bacterial large subunit ribosomal RNA", at positions 1560 to 2778 of the family's 2925-position model. Lineage: Bacteria; Pseudomonadati; Pseudomonadota; Gammaproteobacteria; Enterobacterales; Enterobacteriaceae. The record is from RNAcentral.
GGCGUGACGACGAGGCACUACGGUGCUGAAGCAACAAAUGCCCUGCUUCCAGGAAAAGCCUCUAAGCCUCAGGUAACAUCAGAUCGUACCCGAAACCGACACAGGUGGUCAGGUAGAGAAUACCAAGGCGCUUGAGAGAACCCGGGUGAAGGAACUAGGCAAAAUGGUGCCGUAACUUCGGGAGAAGGCACGCUGACACGUAGGUGAAGCGGUUUACCCGUGGAGCUGAAGUCAGUCGAAGAUACCAGCUGGCUGCAACUGUUUAUUAAAAACACAGCACUGUGCAAACACGAAAGUGGACGUAUACGGUGUGACGCCUGCCCGGUGCCGGAAGGUUAAUUGAUGGGGUCAGCGCAAGCGAAGCUCCUGAUCGAAGCCCCGGUAAACGGCGGCCGUAACUAUAACGGUCCUAAGGUAGCGAAAUUCCUUGUCGGGUAAGUUCCGACCUGCACGAAUGGCGUAAUGAUGGCCAGGCUGUCUCCACCCGGGACUCAGUGAAAUUGAACUCGCUGUGAAGAUGCAGUGUACCCGCGGCAAGACGGAAAGACCCCGUGAACCUUUACUAUAGCUUGACACUGAACACUGGUCCUUGAUGUGCAGGAUAGGUGGGAGGCUUUGAAGUGUGGACGCCAGUCUGCAUGGAGCCGUCCUUGAAAUACCACCCUUUAAUGGCUGGUGUUCUAACGUAGACCCGUGAACCGGGUUGCGGACAGUGUCUGGUGGGUAGUUUGACUGGGGCGGUCUCCUCCUAAAGCGUAACGGAGGAGCACGAAGGUUGGCUAAUCCUGGUCGGACAUCAGGAGGUUAGUGCAAUGGCAUAAGCCAGCUUGACUGCGAGCGUGACGGCGCGAGCAGGUGCGAAAGCAGGUCAUAGUGAUCCGGUGGUUCUGAAUGGAAGGGCCAUCGCUCAACGGAUAAAAGGUACUCCGGGGAUAACAGGCUGAUACCGCCCAAGAGUUCAUAUCGACGGCGGUGUUUGGCACCUCGAUGUCGGCUCAUCACAUCCUGGGGCUGAAGUAGGUCCCAAGGGUAUGGCUGUUCGCCAUUUAAAGUGGUACGCGAGCUGGGUUUAGAACGUCGUGAGACAGUUCGGUCCCUAUCUGCCGUGGGCGCUGGAGAACUGAGGGGGGCUGCUCCUAGUACGAGAGGACCGGAGUGGACGCAUCACUGGUGUUCGGGUUGUCAUGCCAAUGGCACUGCCCGGUAGCUAAAUGCGGAAGAGAUAAGUGCUGAAAGC